Molecule: ribosomal RNA, 253 nt
Filed under: uncultured bacterium
Lineage: Bacteria
Description: partial 16S ribosomal RNA
Rfam family: Bacterial small subunit ribosomal RNA
Source: RNAcentral
UACAGAGGUCUCAAGCGUUGUUCGGAUUCAUUGGGCGUAAAGGGUGCGUAGGCGGCUCGGUAAGUCGGGUGUGAAAUCUCGGAGCUUAACUCCGAAACUGCAUUCGAUACUGCCGUGCUUGAGUACUGGAGAGGAGACUGGAAUUUACGGUGUAGCGGUGAAAUGCGUAGAUAUCGUAAGGAAGACCAGUGGCGAAGGCGGGGCUCUGGACAGUUCCUGACGCUGAGGCACGAAGGUCAGGGGAGCAAACGGG